UAGUAUUGCCCAAAGGACUCUUAAGAAAAUAUGAUGUGUAGCUAUGGGAUCUCCAACUGCACUCGAGAGCAACCUGGAGAGACUUUGACAGCUCAUCUCAGGUCAGCUGUGUCUGUCACUCACCUUUCCUUUAAGA
Myotis lucifugus (little brown bat) is the source of this 136-nucleotide small nucleolar RNA. Ensembl annotates it as small nucleolar RNA SNORA44. Lineage: Eukaryota; Metazoa; Chordata; Mammalia; Chiroptera; Vespertilionidae. The record is from Ensembl.